GGUGCCCUUAUGGUGUAAUGGUUAGCACUCUGGACUUUGAAUCCAGCGAUCCGGGUUCAAAUCCCGGUAGGACCU
RNAcentral lists this transfer RNA (75 nucleotides) under Phytophthora infestans (potato late blight agent). RNAcentral's name for it is "tRNA-Gln". It matches the Rfam family "tRNA". Rfam says of the family: Transfer RNA (tRNA) molecules are approximately 80 nucleotides in length. The record is from RNAcentral. Lineage: Eukaryota; Oomycota; Peronosporomycetes; Peronosporales; Peronosporaceae.